CCAGUAGUGCAAUUCAAAUCAUGUAUUACACUGCAGCCUUAGACAGGUUACUCACUGAAGCCAAGCAUGGCUGAGUCUGGUCAGUGCCUGGACGGGAGACCACAUGGGAAAACGAAGUUGCUGUUGAA
Molecule: ribosomal RNA, 128 nt
Filed under: Danio rerio (zebrafish)
Lineage: Eukaryota; Metazoa; Chordata; Actinopteri; Cypriniformes; Danionidae
Source: RNAcentral